Molecule: long non-coding RNA, 2975 nt
Organism: Camelus dromedarius (Arabian camel)
Lineage: Eukaryota; Metazoa; Chordata; Mammalia; Artiodactyla; Camelidae
Exons: 5
Source: RefSeq, a predicted model, not a curated record
UGUCCCUGAACUUGAACUCUGUUGGGGGUCCUCCAGCCUGGCCGGCAGGGCAGGCCCCCCACCUCCUCCAGGCCUUGGAUGAAGGUACCUUUUCUUACUGUCCCCUGACUGUCCCUGAGCCCACCUUGCUCGGCUGCCCCCCCGAGUCCCCCACCCAGUGGCUGGUUUCUAUUCCAUGAAUUAACCAAGUUCAUGGCUGAUGGGGGCUUCACUGCUUCCUCUUCCUGGUAACAUGUAGGCUUGUUUACUGGGGCGGUAAUGCCACAGCUCUAUGGGGGAGUCAGUUUUGGAAACUGGGACCACGCUGCCCCGGAGGCGAGGGUUGGGGGCCCUGUCCAGGGAACAGAGCCCCCUGGCUUCCAGGCAAGGCCCUGGGUGGCCGAGCUUCAGGGAGGGGAGGAUGCACAUUCUUCUGGUCCUGCCCCUGCUCAGACACUAUUUGACAAUGACUGUCGAAGGGGAAAAGCUGUGCAGCGUUGCUGCUGAGGUGCCCAGGAGUGACGGGCACUUUCAGGACGAGGCCUCCGCACCCACUGCCUUCAUCCAGGCUUCUUCGGCUUCAAUAGCUGCAAAGAAUGAAUUGUGUAUAAGCCAAGGCUGACAAGAGCUGCAGUGUCCAAGGGGAAAUUCAGAUUUUUCCUGAUCAAAGAGCAAACAUUUAAAAGCAGUCCUGAUGUAGGACAGCAGCUCCCAGCAACGUCUUUAAGUUGCAUCUUCAGAAGCUGACUCAGUGCAGCUUGCCUUGUUCUUGGAAGCCUGCACAGAGUUCUGCAUGAGCUCUGCGCGCCCCCAUCGCUCCUGACCUUGGCAGGAACACGCAGGUGUGGCCCUGCAGAGGACACGCCAGGCUGGUGCUUCAUGAGUGCUGACCCCACAGGGAACUGUGUGCUCUCGGGAGAGACAUGGGAUUUACAUCAGAGUGCAAAUAUAUGUAAGUAGUUAAACAAAUGGCGUCACACUCUGUCACCUGAACAAAGACCAGUGGUGAGACUGUGGAUGGGUACACGCUGCCACACCGUUUGUGAAGCGAGUUUCUCACAGCGACCCGUCCACGUGAUGCUGUCACUACCUGAGUGUGAUGGAUGAGGAGACCAAGGCUGAGAGAGACAAGGAACUUGCACAACAUCACACGGCAGGUUCCCUCUGGAUAUAUGCCCAGGAGUGGGACUGCUGGAUCACAGGAUAAGUCUAUUUUUAAUUUUCCAUACUGUUUUCCAUAGUCUCUGCACCAAACUACAUUCCCACCAACAUCGUAGGUGGGUUUCCUGUUCUCCAUACCCUCCCCGUCAUUUAUCCUUUGGACUUUUGAAUGAUGGCCAUUCUGGUUGGUGUGAAGUGAUACCUUGUAUAUUGAUCUGCAUUUCUCUGCUAAUUAGUGAUAUUGAGCAUCUUUUCAUGUGCCUAUUGGCCAUUCCUAUGUCUUCAUUGGAGAAUUGCUUGUUUAUGUCUUCUGCCCAUUUUUGGAUUGGGUUGUUUGUUUUUUUCUUAUUAAGUUUUAUGAGUUGUUUACAUAUUCUGGAAAUUAAGCCCUUGUCAGUCUCAUCUUUUGCAAAUAUUUCCUCCCAUUCCGUAAGUUGUCUUUUUGUUUUGCUUAUGGUUUCCUUUGUUGUGCAAAAGCUUAUGAGUUUAAUUAGGCCCCAUGUGUUUAUUUUUGCUUUUAUUUCUAUUGCCUGGGUAGACUGCCCCAGGAGAACCUUGCUAAGAUUUCUGUCAGAAAAUGUUUUGCCUAUGUUUUCUUCUAGGAGGUUUAUCAUGUCUUGUCUUAUGUUUAAGUCUUUAAGCCAAGGGCCUCCAUUUUGCAAAGUUCAAUAACCACUUGUUCAGUGAAGGACUAGGAGAGGCCAGGGCCUUCUCAGAGGUUCCGGGAGAAGGGCGGGAGCUUGAAUCAAAGGUGGGUCUUCUUGGCAAAACAGGCCCAAGUAUCCAGCCCAGAAAGCUCUUCUCUCCUCUUGGAGAGGUGAACGAAUGGGUUAAACACGAGCUCUUCCUGUGUGUGUGUUGAGGGGGACGGGGCGGGUACAAAUACGCAUGCGUGUCUGCGCACAAGCCCACCUGUGCGUGUGUGUGUUUGGUCCUUUCACUCUGAGUCCUUUAUGAGACGCCAAUACUCUUAUUAUUCUUACUCAGAGAGUCAGGUGCUUGUAAAUAAAAGCCUUGACUUUGGGGUCUUCCGUAUUUCCGGUGAGGGUUUCAAGACCCUAGGUUACUCAUCAAAGCCAAGGAUACUCGCCUCUCCUGAGACAACAGAAUGUGGCCUCUUUAAUGGUGAGAUAGUCACAGGGUGGAGAGGAAGUGCCGAGAAUAGUGAUGUUUCAAGAUAUUCUGCCUCAUCAGGAUCAACAGAUGUAAUGAUUCAUGUGUCUCAGCGCGUGUUCAGAGAAAAGGAAAAAGCUGAAAGAGGCAGAAUCGAGCAGCGCUUGCACGACUUGAUCUCCUCUCUUCCCUGUGAAACGACACGUGUGAUUUUUGUUUAAGCCACUCUUCCUCACGGCGCUGGUGACUUCCUGAUCUGAGCAGAAGGAAAAAGUGUCCUCUUCGGAGUGAUUCUGAUUUUGAUUACGUCUUUGAGUGUCCUGGAUGAUACUGUAAUAAGCAGAGGAACGGAUCAGAAUGUAAACAAAUGAUUCACCCCCUCCUGGAGAACGGCAGUUGGCCCAGCCCCCACGACCACUGUGGGUGCAGAUCGUUUUCCACCGUCAGGGAGGGGAAAGCACUCUGUACCUUCAUACAAAAUAAAAAGCAGACAGUCAUGCUGUCUGGUUUCAGUCUCUAAAGAACAAAAUCUUGAGCAUUUCCUGUAAGCCUGGACUCCCAGCAGGAACCCCCUCAUCCCGGGCUUUUGAGUUAAUGUCUGAGAUAUGAGGAGCUGGUCUUUUCCCAUCAUAAAGAGAGAGAUGUCAACAUGGUGAUCCUGGGGGUUUUUGUCACGUUAGCUAUGUAUUGGAUCUUUCCUUGGAUGAGCUAGUCUUAUUGAA